UGGCCUCACGGCCGUCGGCGUUGCUGGGAAGUUGACCAAACUUGAUCAUUUAGAGGAAGUAAAAGUCGUAACAAGGUUUCCGUAGGGGAACCUGCGGAAGGAUCAUUAACGUUUUC
This 116-nucleotide ribosomal RNA is filed under the name Pieris rapae (cabbage white). RNAcentral describes it as "partial 18S ribosomal RNA". It matches the Rfam family "Eukaryotic small subunit ribosomal RNA", at positions 1725 to 1831 of the family's 1831-position model. Lineage: Eukaryota; Metazoa; Arthropoda; Insecta; Lepidoptera; Pieridae. The record is from RNAcentral.